This 417-nucleotide long non-coding RNA is filed under the name Bos indicus x Bos taurus (hybrid cattle). RNAcentral describes it as "lncRNA (ENSBIXG00005029988.1)". Lineage: Eukaryota; Metazoa; Chordata; Mammalia; Artiodactyla; Bovidae. The record is from RNAcentral.
CUCCACUCCGAGGAUCUUUACAGCACUGCAUCUGACGGCUGAGAAUAAAAGUGUCCUAAACACACAAGCUUGAAAAUCGCUUCACCUUACAGCCGAAACCUCCGUCUCUACGGGCAUGUGAAUGUGAGCACAUAUUUGUAUUUAUGGGGAGAAUUUAUGGGCUGUUUGCCUGUGUGCACCAAUGAUUCCAGGCUCAUCAGAGAACAUGUUGUAGAAAACAGCAUGAAGAAAUUUAACGAGAAAAAAAGAAAACGGAUGGAAGAAAACUUAACCUUCGUGAGAGUCGUGUCAAUCUAUAAACUAGUAAAUGAUCACCUUUAUUACAGGUGUGCAAACCCAGGGAACAUGAGUCCUGGACUUGAGGAAUGGGGCAGAGGAAGAGAAGGUCAUUCAGUAACCACCCUCCACUCGGGGUAG